Molecule: long non-coding RNA, 2442 nt
Organism: Ursus americanus (American black bear)
Lineage: Eukaryota; Metazoa; Chordata; Mammalia; Carnivora; Ursidae
Source: Ensembl
UGCUGGGCUGGCUGGCAGGCAGUUGCCUAGCCCCAAGCCGGGCGAACACGCCACGCGUAGGUGCCCAGAGCCCCGCUGGUGUCCCACCAGUUUCCACUGGGGAUCGCUGAGGGACUCCCAGACCUGGAGCUGGAGGAGGGGCCCCCAGAAUGGCUGGACGGCCCAUCAAACAGGCAAGGCUGCAGUGCUUACCCCCUGCUCGCCCCAAGAUCUGAAUGGGUGGGGUUGAGGGUUCCCAGCCUCAGAUGGGUCUGAGCUGGGGCGGGGGGGCGGUUUUUGUGAAAACAGAGCAAGUAGCAGGAAGGUCAUGGCCCCAGGGCAGGAUCAGGGGCCAAAGGCUGUUGACAGAGACUGGUUCCUGCUUCCUCCCCACCCCCGUGGGGCGGGGCUGACCUGGAUGCCGGCCACGGUGCAACUCCCCACCAACCCUCAUCCCCCGGCACAGAAGGACCUAGAGACAGUGAGGGCCGGUCCACGGAAGAUGCGGGUGCCCAGACGUCAGGGCGUCAGGCAGUUCAGGGUGGGGACAGAUACCCCGUGGCCCAGAAGUGGGAGUGGAGACCGCUGGAGAGCCUGUCACAGCAGCGUCCCCCAUGUCAGCCAGAGGCCCUGUGAGCACCCCCGUGCUUGGGAGCUCCGACCCGACAGAUCUCACGCAACCAUUCACAGGCCGCAGGAACCAAAAAGCAGGAAGACCCCAAGCGCAUGCAGGUGGGCCCCAGGCCGUGUCCCCAGGCCGAGUCCGGCGCCUCUCUCUGAGAUGGGGGCGGGAAACCAAGGGCCAGCAGCCACCCUGGCCAGAUGGAGAACCCAGGGCAAGGAGGGCGCCGGAGGAAGCAGAACAAGACGUCGAAACUGUGGGCACGCGGAUUCCCCGGCAGUGACGGUAACAGGCCGGGUUGGAAAACAGAACGAGAAAGAGCCCGUGUAAAGUAAAACUAUAAUACGGGAAAUUUUCAAAAUCUAAUAGAAGGGUUGAAGGGUGAGUUGAGGAAGUCUCGCAGAAGACAGAACCAAACCCCAUGAGAUGGACGGUGAGCGCCCGGGCUGUGAGGAGGGCCUCGGCCGCGGCAGCUUCUGAUGGGCGCGGGGUAAGGGGGCCGUGUGGACACUGCCCAGUUUACAUAUUUCCUUUUAAAAAUAUGUGAGAUGUCUUGAACUAAAAAGGUACAGAAAACAUCAGUUGCCUGAAGAAAGAAAACGUUAGGGGCACUGGGCACGCGGCUCUGGAUCUCAGGGUUGUGAGUUCGAGGCCCACGUGGGGCGUAGAGAUGACGUUCAAAAACCAAGAAAGAAGGAAAGAAAAUGUCAAAGGGGCUUUUGAAGUGCCCACCGUCGCCUCCACUGCCCGCGUCCCGCGGAGAGUCCCGCCGCCCUCAACCGCUUGCUCUCUGUGUCAGCGCCCCCGGCCUCUGAGUGUCCAGUUGAGGCAUGGUAUCAGGAGCAUGGACUGCGGGGCACGGCGUGGCCGAGUCUGCUGGCUCGCCCGCUCCACGCUAUGUCUCCGAGGCCCAGUCGUGUCGGUCCACGUGACGCUGGCUCAUCGCUUGUCCACGUGGCUGCCUGGCCGCCGGGGUGAGGGGAAGACCCCGUUCCUGGGCCUGUGGCCGCUGGAGCCCCUCUGGGGCUCUUCCUCCCCUCUCCCUCCUCUCCUCUCCUCCCCGGCCCUGCACAAGCCUCCCGUGUGCAGGGUGGGCUGUUCUCAGCCCACAGCGCCCCGCCACUGCCCCGCGCUUUAUUUUCAUGUAUGCGUACGCACCGGUCGCUCCCGGGAGUGGAAAGUCAGGUUUACCGAGGCCUGAUUUACAUACGCAGAAGCUUACCCUUGAGAAAUGUACAGUUCAGUGGUUUUGACAAACACGGUCCCGUAGCCGCCGUGAUCAGGAUACAGAACAUUUUAUCGCCCCACGUCCCUCCCGAGCCCCCGGCAGCCCCCGGGUGACUGCGUCCGGCGGGUCUGCCUCUCCGGAAAUAUCCUCUAAAUGGACCGUGUGGCCUUUUGUGUCUGGCUUCUUUCCAUGCGUCACCAAGCCUUGCAGGCUCCUCGCCGUCAUGGCACAGGUGGGCCGCGACUCCGCUUCUCCGCUCACCAGCCUGCGGACCCCUGAGGCUUUGGGCUUUGGGCGCUCGGUGCCCGCGGCCUGGGGGGGGGCCGUGCGGGUCUCUGGGUGGCCGUGCGUGGUCCUUCCUCCCCCAGGAAGCACUUUAAGAGAAACCGCUGGGGAACCCAAAGGUGGGGGGGCAGGGAGCCCGCAGAGCGUCCGACUCUUGGUUCACCUCGGGGUGAUCUCAGGGUCGUUGGAUCGAGCCCCACGGCGGGCUCCACGCUCAGCUCGGAGUCAGCUGGAGAUUCCCUCUCCCUCUGCACGCCCCUCACGCUCACUGUCUCUGAAAUAAGUAAGUAAAUCUAAAAUACACAAAUAAAUGAGAGAGAAGCAGCCA